RNAcentral lists this ribosomal RNA (253 nucleotides) under uncultured bacterium. RNAcentral's name for it is "partial 16S ribosomal RNA". It matches the Rfam family "Bacterial small subunit ribosomal RNA", at positions 524 to 776 of the family's 1533-position model. The record is from RNAcentral.
UACGUAGGUGACAAGCGUUAUCCGGAAUUACUGGGCGUAAAGCGCACGCAGGCGGCGCGCUAAGUCUGACGUGAAAUCUCCUGGCUUAACUGGGAGGGGUCGUUGGAAACUGGUGUGCUUGAGGCGAUGAGAGGGGUGUAGAAUUCCCGGUGUAGUGGUGGAAUGCGUAGAUAUCGGGAGGAAUACCAGUGGCGAAAGCGGCACCCUGGCAUUAGCCUGACGCUCAGGUGCGAAGGCGUGGGGAGCGAACGGG